This 354-nucleotide transfer-messenger RNA is filed under the name bacterium. It matches the Rfam family "transfer-messenger RNA". From Rfam's summary of the family: Bacterial tmRNA, also known as 10Sa RNA or SsrA, is named for its dual tRNA and mRNA-like properties. Its role is to liberate the mRNA from a stalled ribosome. To accomplish this part of the tmRNA is used as a reading frame that ends in a translation stop signal. The record is from RNAcentral.
GGGGAUGACAGGUUUCGACGGAAUUGCACUUUGACACGCCGCAAGCCGAGUUUGACUAGUACUCGUUAAACAUAAGUCGAAAACAAUAAACGACGACCUUAACGGUUAUCGUCCCAACUUCGCAAUCGCGUAAGUUGGCAUCUGUGUUGUUUGCUUCUUGACCGAGCAACAACGGGUGUAAACCAGUCAAGAUGCCUCCGGCAACUGAUCAGCGCCGGCGUAAGAUUUGAUCUAGUAAACACUGUUACCUUUGCUUGUUGAGGAUGUGUUUACGAAAAAAUUCAACAAACUAAGCUUGUAGACGCAGUCAGCGUGUUUUUCCGGAUGAGGGUUCGACUCCCUCCAUCUCCACAU